Molecule: ribosomal RNA, 1014 nt
Filed under: Listeria monocytogenes
Lineage: Bacteria; Bacillati; Bacillota; Bacilli; Caryophanales; Listeriaceae
Description: partial 23S ribosomal RNA
Rfam family: Bacterial large subunit ribosomal RNA
Source: RNAcentral
CCAGGGAACUGAAACAUCUAAGUACCUGGAGGAAGAGAAAGAAAAAUCGAUUUCCUGAGUAGCGGCGAGCGAAACGGAAAGAGCCCAAACCAAGAAGCUUGCUUCUUGGGGUUGUAGGACACUCUAUACGGAGUUACAAAAGAAAGUUAUAAAUGAAGCGGUCUGGAAAGGCCCGCCAAAGACGGUAACAGCCCGGUAGUUGAAAUGGCUUUCCCUCCAGAGUGGAUCCUGAGUACGGCGGAACACGUGAAAUUCCGUCGGAAUCCGGGAGGACCAUCUCCCAAGGCUAAAUACUCCCUAGUGACCGAUAGUGAACCAGUACCGUGAGGGAAAGGUGAAAAGCACCCCGGAAGGGGAGUGAAACAGUUCCUGAAACCGUGUGCCUACAAGUAGUUAGAGCCCGUUAAUGGGUGAUAGCGUGCCUUUUGUAGAAUGAACCGGCGAGUUACGAUUUGUUGCAAGGUUAAGCGGAAAAAGCGGAGCCGUAGCGAAAGCGAGUCUGAAUAGGGCGCAUAAGUAACAGGUCGUAGACCCGAAACCAGGUGAUCUACCCAUGUCCAGGAUGAAGGUAAGGUAAUACUUACUGGAGGUCCGAACCCACGCACGUUGAAAAGUGCGGGGAUGAGGUGUGGGUAGCGGAGAAAUUCCAAUCGAACUUGGAGAUAGCUGGUUCUCUCCGAAAUAGCUUUAGGGCUAGCCUCGAGGUAAAGAGUCAUGGAGGUAGAGCACUGUUUGGACUAGGGGCCCUUCUCGGGUUACCGAAUUCAGAUAAACUCCGAAUGCCAUGUACUUAUACUCGGGAGUCAGACUGCGAGUGAUAAGAUCCGUAGUCGAAAGGGAAACAGCCCAGACCACCAGUUAAGGUCCCCAAAUAUAUGUUAAGUGGAAAAGGAUGUGGGGUUGCUUAGACAACCAGGAUGUUGGCUUAGAAGCAGCCACCAUUGAAAGAGUGCGUAAUAGCUCACUGGUCGAGUGACCCCGCGCCGAAAAUGUACCGGGGCUAAACAUAUUACC